Molecule: ribosomal RNA, 1986 nt
Filed under: Triticum aestivum (bread wheat)
Lineage: Eukaryota; Viridiplantae; Streptophyta; Magnoliopsida; Poales; Poaceae
Description: partial small subunit ribosomal RNA
Source: RNAcentral
AUGAAGCGCACACGUGAGGCGUUCGACGUGAGGAAGGAGGUCUUCGCCGUCGGCAAGAUGUGCGGCGAGGAACGGAAUUUGCUGCGCAAGCGAUUCCGGGCGGAGCUCGUUGCUGUCCGUGGCCUGCUCGAGAAGGCGGAUCGGCUCUUGGCCCCCGGAACCGCCGAGGGCUGCCGCGGUGGUGCGGCGCCUUCUUCCUCGUCCGGCCUGGCGGCUCUGCCCGGCAAGGAAGUAGGGCGACCCAUGUUGGGCACCGAACCACGAUCCGGCGGGUUGGUGAAGGCUGACGACGGCAAGAGGAGGGUGAAAACUCCUCUGGCGGAGCACAAAGAGGCGCCGAAGAUGACCCCGGCCGACCGGCAACAUCUUGCGUUCAGCCUGGUGGCGCUAGCGGCAGAACUGUCAGACCACGCCGUCGAGCUCCUGCCGAAGCAGAGCCAUGGCGGCCGACGGGUGAUCGAGGCAAACGUGAACGCCAUGGAAGACGCGGCCCUAUUCGAGCUAAAGAUGCACGUGGACAAGCUCAUCAAAACGAGGGAUCCGUCCCUGCCGCCGCAAGAUGACAGCAAGAUUGUUGGGGAAGAAGCCGACGAAAAUGGCAGGCGCGUCGAUAUCUGCCCCGGUGUGUCUCCCGUGGUGACCGCCCCGUCGCCACUCCUACUUGAAAUUCUUGAAUACGCGGCCGUCUUCAAUGCAACCGGACUAGUCGACAAGAUGCUGUCACCGCUGCCGCAGAAAUACCUGGCGCUCGCUGAAAAGGGGGAGAAGGAGUGCGUCGCCGAAAAGGAGGACGAUGAGGAGUACGUCGACAUCUGCGGCGACGCCUCGCCGGUGGUGUUCCAGAAUCUUGCUGGUGCAAUCAGCCACAACCCAAGCAUUAUCUUAAGCAGCGAUUCUGAUUCUGACUCUGACCCAGACAUCGGCUCCGACAGUGAUUCCAGUGACUCUGGUUCGGUCUCCGACAGCCACUGCGAUGAGAAGGGCGGCACUCUAGCUCCGCCAGUUCUUCCUAAGGUUAGCAGCAGCCUAGCUCCAUCAGUUCUUUCCAAAGUGAUUGGCGAUUCUGCACCACCAACGGAGCCAACACUGGAGGUGGUACAGAAUGGAGAACUAAAGAAGCUUGACAGUCCAGCUCCAGCAAUUCUUCCCAAGGUGAAUGGUGAUUCUGCUGUCGGGCCAUCGGAGCUACAGAAUGCAGAAACAGAGAACGAUAGUAGUGUAGCUCCAUCAGUUCUUUACAAAAUGGUUGGCGAUUCUGCACCUCCAUCGGUGCCAGCAAUAGAGGUGGUACUGCAGAAUGGAGAACUUAGCAGUCCAGCUCCGGCAGUUCGUCCCAAGGUGCAUGGUGGAUCCGAUGGCCAGGCAACGGUGGUACAGAAUGCAGAACCAGAGAAGGUUAGCAGUCCGUCUCCAGCAGUCCUUUACAAAGUGGUUGAUGGUUCUGCACUGUCACUUGAGGUGGUACAGAAUGGUUUUGAAACAGAGAAGCUUGGCUGCCCAGCACCAUCAGUUCGACUUCUUUCUAAGGUGAAUGAUGGUUCUUCCCUGCUAUCAUCGAAGCCUGCACCGGAGCUGGUGCAGAAUGCAGAACCAGAAAAUGUCUCAGACAAGCCUGCAACUGCGACGGCGCCUCCGGUGAGGCCAAUGAGCGAGCUGAUCGCCAUGGCGCUAGAAAAGCGGCGGCGGGAGGAGAGGUCCCAGGCGAGGGAGAAAGCCCGUCAGGGGCUGGUGGACAUGGAGAGGUCGGCCAUGACCAGCCACAGGGUACACCCAGUGGACAUGGAGCAGCUUGGCAUCGUUCACGUGGAGCACAUGGUGAGCCAAGGAAGACGGCCUGGUGUUCCUCCCAGUCUGUUGCAGCAGCUUGGUCUCUUCCUGAGGGCUGAUGAAGACGACGGUGGAGAGCAGCAGCAGCAGCAGCAGCAGCAACAACCAAUCUCCGAUUCCGGCGUUGAAGACCUGGAGGAAGGGGAGAUUCUGUUCUAG